Syngnathus typhle (broad-nosed pipefish) is the source of this 550-nucleotide long non-coding RNA. RefSeq lists it as uncharacterized. NCBI's taxonomy places the organism in Eukaryota, Metazoa, Chordata, Actinopteri, Syngnathiformes, Syngnathidae. The record is from RefSeq and is a predicted model, not a curated record. The transcript is spliced from 2 exons.
UGCAGAACUGGAUGGAGCAGACGGCGGCUGCAACCACGGCGACAGCAACAUGGGCGUUGGCGUCUGGCGGCUUCGUUUAGGCAAACAUGCUCGACUAGCUCACAGUUGCGAGAUGGCUCCUGUCAACUUUCGGAGAAAUGUGGAGUGUGACUCAAUGACAAAAGUCAAUUUAGCACUUCUAUUGCUAGGUUCAGAAACUUUUCAAACAAUACUGUACGCUAUUUUCAGCUGCGCUAGAAGACAAAGAAAGAAGAAAGAAGACGAACAAAAGACGAAGAAGGAGAAGAAGAAGAGCGGCGUGCUAAAGGUCACCGAGAAGUGCGAUCACACAGGCUGGAAGAUAAAGAGCCCGCUGAGAAAUAUCAAUUACGCCUUGACAUUUUCCACCCGGAGACAAAGGAUGCCCGUGAAAAGGAAGCGUCAUGGCGACCACCAACGUGGUCACAUCAGGAAUUGAUUGAGAUAUGUAACUGCUUUUUGUCCGUCCGUGCAGUUGUUGUGCAUCAGAUUUAGACAAAAACUGAUUAAAUCAAUUUCAAAUUGCUGGAAA